This 502-nucleotide ribosomal RNA is filed under the name uncultured bacterium. RNAcentral describes it as "bacterial SSU rRNA". It matches the Rfam family "Bacterial small subunit ribosomal RNA", at positions 15 to 507 of the family's 1533-position model. The record is from RNAcentral.
GAUCAUGGCUCAGGAUGAACGCUAGCGACAGGCUUAACACAUGCAAGUCGAGGGGCAACAUGAUUUUAGCUUGCUAAAUUGAUGGCGACCGGCGCACGGGUGAGUAACGCGUAUGUAACUUGCCUACCAGAGGGGAUAGCCCGGCGAAAGUCGGAUUAAUACCGCAUAAAACAGGGGUUCCGCAUGGAAAUAUUUGUUAAAGGAUUACCGCUGGUAGAUAGGCAUGCGUUCCAUUAGAUAGUUGGUGAGGUAACGGCUCACCAAGUCGACGAUGGAUAGGGGUUCUGAGAGGAAGGUCCCCCACAUUGGUACUGAGACACGGACCAAACUCCUACGGGAGGCAGCAGUGAGGAAUAUUGGUCAAUGGGCGAGAGCCUGAACCAGCCAAGUCGCGUGAAGGAUGAAGGAUCUAUGGUUUGUAAACUUCUUUUAUACGGGAAUAAAGUGUGGUACGUGUACCAUUUUGUAUGUACCGUAUGAAUAAGCAUCGGCUAACUCCGUG